Molecule: ribosomal RNA, 150 nt
Filed under: Fusarium oxysporum
Lineage: Eukaryota; Fungi; Ascomycota; Sordariomycetes; Hypocreales; Nectriaceae
Description: partial 28S ribosomal RNA
Rfam family: Eukaryotic large subunit ribosomal RNA
Source: RNAcentral
UCGCGUCGUGGUAUUUCGCGUAUUGUAAUUUCAACACGAGCGGGGUCAAAUCCUUUGCAGACGACUUAGCUGUGCGAAACGGUCCUGUAAGCAGUAGAGUAGCCUUGUUGUUACGAUCUGCUGAGGGUAAGCCGUCCUUCGCCUCGAUUU